GACAGAGGCCCCAAGCGUUCGGCGGAAUCACUGGGCUUAAAGCGCGUGUAGGCGGAUCGUUAAGUGCCUUGUGAAAUCCUGCGGCUCAACCGCAGAACUGCUGGGCAUACUGGCGAUCUUGGGCCACUCAGGGGUCACUGGAACAAGCGGUGGAGCGGUGAAAUGCGUAGAUAUCGCUUGGAACGCCAAAGGUGAAGACAGGUGACUGGGGGUGUGCCGACGCUGAGACGCGAAAGCCAGGGGAGCAAACGGG
Molecule: ribosomal RNA, 253 nt
Filed under: uncultured bacterium
Lineage: Bacteria
Description: partial 16S ribosomal RNA
Rfam family: Bacterial small subunit ribosomal RNA
Source: RNAcentral